CCUACGGGUGGCAGCAGUGAGGAAUAUUGGUCAAUGGGCGGAAGCCUGAACCAGCCAAGUAGCGUGCAGGAUGACGGCCCUACGGGUUGUAAACUGCUUUUAUACGGGAAUAACGCGCCUUACGUGUAGGGCUUUGCAUGUACCGUAUGAAUAAGGACCGGCUAAUUCCGUGCCAGCAGCCGCGGUAAUACGGAGGAUGCGAGCGUUAUCCGGAUUUAUUGGGUUUAAAGGGUGCGUAGGCGGACUGGAAAGUCAGCGGUAAAAUCGAGAGGCUCAACCUCUUUCCGCCGUUGAACCUGUCGGUCUUGAGUGGGCGAGAAGUAUGCGGAAUGCGUGGUGUAGCGGUGAAAUGCAUAGAUAUCACGCAGAACUCCGAUUGCGAAGGCAGCAUACCGGCGCCCGACUGACGCUGAGGCACGAAAGCGUGGGUAUCGAACAGGAUUAGAUACCCCUGUAGUC
This 459-nucleotide ribosomal RNA is filed under the name uncultured bacterium. RNAcentral's name for it is "partial 16S ribosomal RNA". It matches the Rfam family "Bacterial small subunit ribosomal RNA", at positions 338 to 795 of the family's 1533-position model. The record is from RNAcentral.